GACGAACGCUGGCGGCGUGCCUAAUACAUGCAAGUUGAGCGCUGAAGGCUGGUACUUGUACCAACUGGAUGAGCAGCGAACGGGUGAGUAACGCGUGGGGAAUCUGCCUUUGAGCGGGGGACAACAUUUGGAAACGAAUGCUAAUACCGCAUAAAAACUUUAAACACAAGUUUUAAGUUUGAAAGAUGCAAUUGCAUCACUCAAAGAUGAUCCCGCGUUGUAUUAGCUAGUUGGUGAGGUAAAGGCUCACCAAGGCGAUGAUACAUAGCCGACCUGAGAGGGUGAUCGGCCACAAUGGGACUGAGACACGGCCCAAACUCCUACGGGAGGCAGCAGUAGGGAAUCUUCGGCAAUGGACGAAAGUCUGACCGAGCAACGCCGCGUGAGUGAAGAAGGUUUUCGGAUCGUAAAACUCUGUUGGUAGAGAAGAACGUUGGUGAGAGUGGAAAGCUCAUCAAGUGACGGUAACUACCCAGAAAGGGACGGCUAACUACGUG
Molecule: ribosomal RNA, 497 nt
Filed under: uncultured bacterium
Lineage: Bacteria
Description: partial 16S ribosomal RNA
Rfam family: Bacterial small subunit ribosomal RNA
Source: RNAcentral